Molecule: ribosomal RNA, 498 nt
Filed under: uncultured bacterium
Lineage: Bacteria
Description: partial 16S ribosomal RNA
Rfam family: Bacterial small subunit ribosomal RNA
Source: RNAcentral
GAUGAACGCUGGCGGCGUGCCUAAUACAUGCAAGUCGAACGGUAACAGGUCUUCGGAUGCUGACGAGUGACGAACGGGUGAGUAAUACAUCGGAACGUGCCCGAGAGUGGGGGGUAACGAGGCGAAAGCUUUGCUAAUACCGCAUACGAUCUCAGGAUGAAAGCAGGGGACCGCAAGGCCUUGCGCUCACGGAGCGGCCGAUGGCAGAUUAGGUAGUUGGUGGGAUAAAAGCUUACCAAGCCGACGAUCUGUAACUGGUCUGAGAGGACGACCAGCCACACUGGGACUGAGACACGGCCCAGACUCCUACGGGAGGCAGCAGUGGGGAAUUUUGGACAAUGGGCGCAAGCCUGAUCCAGCCAUGCCGCGUGCAGGAUGAAGGCCUUCGGGUUGUAAACUGCUUUUGUACGGAACGAAAAGACUCCUUCUAAUAAAGGGGGUCCAUGACGGUACCGUAAGAAUAAGCACCGGCUAACUACGUGCCAGCAGCCGCCGUAA